Molecule: ribosomal RNA, 252 nt
Filed under: uncultured bacterium
Lineage: Bacteria
Description: partial 16S ribosomal RNA
Rfam family: Bacterial small subunit ribosomal RNA
Source: RNAcentral
UACGUAGGAAGCAAGCGUUGUCCGGAAUUACUGGGUGUAAAGGGAGCGUAGGCGGGAUGGCAAGUUGGGUGUUAAAUCUACCGGCUCAACUGGUAGUCGCACUCAAAACUGCUAUUCUUGAGUGAAGUAGAGGCAGGCGGAAUUCCUAGUGUAGCGGUGAAAUGCGUAGAUAUUAGGAGGAACACCAGUGGCGAAGGCGGCCUGCUGGGCUUUUACUGACGCUGAGGCUCGAAAGUGUGGGGAGCAAACAGG